UACGAACCGUCCAAACGUUAUUCGGAAUUACUGGGCUUAAAGGGUGCGUAGGCGGCCCGGGAAGUUGGGUGUGAAAUCCCUCGGCUUAACCGAGGAAUUGCGCCCAAAACUGCCGGGCUUGAGGAAGAUAGAGGUGAGCGGAACUUAGGGUGGAGCGGUGAAAUGCGUUGAUAUCCUAAGGAACACCGGUGGCGAAAGCGGCUCACUGGGUCUUUUCUGACGCUGAGGCACGAAAGCUAGGGGAGCGAAC
This 250-nucleotide ribosomal RNA is filed under the name uncultured bacterium. RNAcentral describes it as "partial 16S ribosomal RNA". It matches the Rfam family "Bacterial small subunit ribosomal RNA", at positions 524 to 773 of the family's 1533-position model. The record is from RNAcentral.